CCCAGCAGCCAUACAACCUCAGGCUGUGAUCUUGUCAGAUCUCACAAACUAAGCAGGUUGGCAUUGGUUAGUAAUUGGCUAGGAGACCUCCAAGAAAAACCCAGGAUACCACUGGAA
Molecule: ribosomal RNA, 117 nt
Filed under: Pelodiscus sinensis (Chinese soft-shelled turtle)
Lineage: Eukaryota; Metazoa; Chordata; Testudines; Trionychidae
Source: RNAcentral